UACGAAGGGUGCAAGCGUUACUCGGAAUUACUGGGCGUAAAGCGUGCGUUGGCGGUUUGUUAAGUCCGUUGUGAAAGCCCUGGGCUCAACCUGGGAAUUGCAGUGGAUACUGGCGAGCUAGAGUGCGGUAGAGGAUGGUGGAAUUCCCGGUGUAGCGGUGAAAUGCGUAGAGAUCGGGAGGAACACCCGUGGCGAAGGCGGCCAUCUGGACCAGCACUGACGCUGAGGCACGAAAGCGUGGGGAGCAAACAGG
RNAcentral lists this ribosomal RNA (253 nucleotides) under uncultured bacterium. Its description in RNAcentral is "partial 16S ribosomal RNA". It matches the Rfam family "Bacterial small subunit ribosomal RNA", at positions 524 to 776 of the family's 1533-position model. The record is from RNAcentral.